RNAcentral lists this ribosomal RNA (429 nucleotides) under Gemmatimonadota bacterium. RNAcentral's name for it is "Gemmatimonadetes bacterium partial 16S ribosomal RNA". It matches the Rfam family "Bacterial small subunit ribosomal RNA", at positions 355 to 776 of the family's 1533-position model. The record is from RNAcentral. Lineage: Bacteria; Pseudomonadati; Gemmatimonadota.
UAGGGAAUCUUCGGCAAUGGACGAAAGUCUGACCGAGCAACGCCGCGUGAGUGAAGAAGGUUUUCGGAUCGUAAAACUCUGUUGUUAGAGAAGAACAAGGACGUUAGUAACUGAACGUCCCCUGAUGGUAUCUAACCAGAAAGCCACGGCUAACUACGUGCCAGCAGCCGCGGUAAUACGUAGGUGGCAAGCGUUGUCCGGAUUUAUUGGGCGUAAAGCGAGCGCAGGCGGUUUCUUAAGUCUGAUGUGAAAGCCCCCGGCUCAACCGGGGAGGGUCAUUGGAAACUUGGAGACUUGAGUGCAGAAGAGGAGAGUGGAAUUCCAUGUGUAGCGGUGAAAUGCGUAGAUAUAUGGAGGAACUCCAUUGGCGAAGGCGGCUCUCUGGUCUGUAACUGACGCUGAGGCUCGAAAGCGUGGGGAGCAAACAGG